RNAcentral lists this transfer RNA (74 nucleotides) under Anaerolineae bacterium. RNAcentral describes it as "tRNA-Ile". It matches the Rfam family "tRNA". Rfam says of the family: Transfer RNA (tRNA) molecules are approximately 80 nucleotides in length. Their secondary structure includes four short double-helical elements and three loops (D, anti-codon, and T loops). Lineage: Bacteria; Bacillati; Chloroflexota; Anaerolineae. RNAcentral also lists the same sequence under 1 other name. The record is from RNAcentral.
GGGUCUGUAGCUCAGCUGGUUAGAGCACUCGCCUGAUAAGCGAGAGGUCAGCCGUUCGAGCCGGCUCAGACCCA